Molecule: long non-coding RNA, 2903 nt
Organism: Lycium ferocissimum
Lineage: Eukaryota; Viridiplantae; Streptophyta; Magnoliopsida; Solanales; Solanaceae
Exons: 3
Source: RefSeq, a predicted model, not a curated record
AUUGUAUCAUUGUAGUAUAUCCAUUGUUAGUUUUCCCUUCUUUUCAUUGAGCAGUCUCCCUUUUUCUUGAAAUUAAAAUACUCCUUGUCGGAGAGUUAUAUAUAGGAGAAACAAGUAAAAUCAGAAAUUUGUGGGGAAUAUCUAAAGAUUUAUUCAAUGGAAUGCAUAAUUGUAGUAUAUGAGCUAAAAAGAAAAUCUUGAUAAUUCGACAUUUUUAUUUGUAAUGCAGCAAGUAGAGACUUACUUGGAGAUUCAAGAUGACCUGCAUAUUACUAUAUUUCUUAAACUUGACAGUUUUUAAACCUUAGAAGAUUUUAAAAGCAAUGAAUUCUAAUAUUUCAAUACAUUACAAUACCAACUAAUUUUCCAUUUAGUUGAAAUAUAAUGGAUGCACAAUUUUGUUUGAUAGAUUUUCAAAAGUGAAAGGUGGUCAAGGGAGAAAGGACCAUUGCUUUGGCUGUAAGUUAUAAAUUUUACCGUUUGUGUUCUCAUGACUAAGUAGUGAAUGGUUUUCCCUGUUGUGUUUGUGCCAUUGUGCUGAACAAAAUUAUCCUUCUUAGAUCGACUCUCUCCAAGCCUUUAUUAAAGGUCGUAAAGCAAAAGACAAAAAAGAAUGUUGGCUGCAGGGAAAAGAAGAAGUCUUCAAAGAUGCUCUCAUUUGUGCCUUGGCAUUCAAGAUAUUUCACGGAUAUGAAUACAAAGUCUCCUCUGGUACCUCUCUAAUUUGUAAUUGCAUUAGUUUGUUUUCUGGAAUAUUAUUUAUUGUUGAAAUAAUUUUAGCAAAGUUAGGUGUGCAUUAUAUAAGCUUCUGAAGCAAGACAAUGUAGUACAUAUUUGAAGGACAUACAUACUAUGUUGGAUUUGUUGUGUUAGAAAUGAUUAUUGAUACAGAUUAAUUGGUUUCAAACAAAUAGAACUUUUCAUCCUUACAUUUUUUGAGACAAGAACUACCCUCCAAAUAGACUCUCCAGGAAAAUUCAUGAAUAGGUAUUUGCCAUAAGUUGCAUUAUGAUCAACUCAGUUUAUUGUUAUUGUCUAUUUGAGACAAGGCCAAUGAUUACAGUUGCUUAUUUUUAGAUGAAUGGUGUCUUAAUUUCCUUCUAUGCAAACUUACAAUGGAUAGCCAUUACGAGACACGUGGAGCACUAUGACGUAGAUAAUACCAGAGUCUCCUAGAAACUUCAUAUUUGUAACUUUGGUCAAUUAUCUUAAUCGUUGUUCUUGUGCCUUUUUUGGUUAUCAUGUACUCCUUUUUUUUUUUUUUAGAGUAUGCUUGCAAUCCCUUUUGGGAUAAUAUGAUAACAUAAGGUGAGAAGCUUUAUUCAUGCUAUAGUUCUCAUGAUGCGGAAUUCAAGUGUUUGUGGUAACAGAUUGAAGGAAGUGCCAUCUUCAGAUUUCAACUCAGGACGACCAUCUGUAAUGCGAUACUCCAGCAAGAGGAAAAAGAAUAGCAAAAAUUGUACCUUCCCGUGGUUGGUCAAUUUAUUAUGAUCAAAGCGAAGAUAUGCUGUCUUAUCUUUUUAACUGAUAAGUUUGUUUCUUAAGAUAAAUAUGGACGCCUCUGUCUAGCUAUGUGCUUUCUAUUUCACCAAACUUCAUAUAUUUUGCAGAGUUUUCCUAAUUGUUCUUUGGAAUUAAUACAAUUAUUUCUUUAUACGACAUAUGUAAUCAAAUGUUUUCCAAGUGAUCCAUAAACCACAUAUACUUUUAAGCUUUUAUUCAUUUUAGUCUUUUAUGAUGACAAAAUAAUAACCACUUUCUUAUUUCACGUAAAUAUACUGCGUUUACAUGCAGAAGAUGAGCAUCACUGAAUGAAAAUUUAUAAACAUGAACUGAUACUUCAAACUUGAAGUUACUAUAGAAGAGCAUAAAUCAGUAUAAGCAACUGGAAGGUGCACUUGGGGGAUAAGAGUAUAAUUCGGUAUUAUUUUAAGACUAGCGUAUAUAAAUUUAGACGAUUGGUAUAGGAUAAUUUCAUGAAUUAUUGGUUGUUGUGGAAACUAAAAAGUAUAUAGAUCAUAGUAAAUUCCGGUUGAUAUCAUUUAGACUAAUUCCCUUUAUUUUGCGACUAUUUAGGGUAAUAAGUGGUCCAGCAUUAGUUGGGUUGAUCAUCUUCUCCGUCAAACUCUUACUGUACCGCUUUGAACAGCUUCCAUGCUUGCUUUGUGUUUAGUUUGGAUAAUAGGGGAUAGAGGAAGGAAUCUUCUGCUUUGGUCUCCUCUCCUCUUCCCAAUUAUGUUUUGGUGAAUAUAGCUUGGCAAAUAAUAUAAGGACUUCUUCGUAGUUCAGGGCAUGAGUGGAAGCAUAGGCCAUAAAGGUAGGCAUUGUACCUUUGCAAUACAGGUCCAGCAUACAGCCAUUCAGCUGUGUUAUGAUUCUUUUUUGGUUAAAUAAUCAUGAAGCUUCUAUACAUUAGGUUGUCAUGCGAGAAUAGUAACUCGACCAUAGGUCUAAUUGGAUGUUACUGAACAUUUAUCUCUUAAUUGUUUAGAUUUGACAACAAAGUUCGGACGAUAGCAUUUGGCUAUGUUACUAAAGAUAAGCAAGGAGGAAUUUGUCCUGAAGAUUGAAAAUAAAAUGUAGUAAAGAGAGUCAAGAGCAGUGGUGAAGGAGGAAUUGGCAUAUGGAAAGACCAAAGUUUCAGCUGGCCUCCGAGCCACAAACUGCUCAAAUCAUAUUAUUUAUGGACCUUAAUCUCAGUGGUAUUCUUGAUCUCAAAAAAACACAAUAUGUAUAUGAGCACUUCAUUAUCAGAUACUGAGAACUUCAUUUAUGCAUACCUCAUGAAGCAAGCUGAGGAAUGUGAUUGUACAACUUUGGUCCACAAAUGAAUCUACGGAAUAUGAAACAUAUUUAUGUUAAUUAUUUUUCAGUUUUGUGAUAUUGCUUCCUUCUUUCUUUUA